This 301-nucleotide unclassified non-coding RNA is filed under the name uncultured fungus. Its description in RNAcentral is "partial contains small subunit ribosomal RNA, internal transcribed spacer 1, and 5.8S ribosomal RNA". The stretch from base 1 to 73 matches the Rfam family "Eukaryotic small subunit ribosomal RNA", at positions 1759 to 1831 of the family's 1831-position model. Lineage: Eukaryota; Fungi. The record is from RNAcentral.
GCAAACUUGGUCAUUUAGAGGAAGUAAAAGUCGUAACAAGGUUUCCGUAGGUGAACCUGCGGAAGGAUCAUUACAAAUCCCCCAUGAUGAUUGACGACGUUGAACCAAUGUGGGUGGCGAGAUGAUGUGAUGGCUGCUGUGCGGGGUCCUAUCCUCCACGGCACGGCACGCACGCUCCUCCCCCCAUUAUAUGACAAACCACUGGCAUCACAACAUGCACAACAUACUUCACUACAACAACAACCUAGAAACAACUUACAACAAUGGAUCUCUAGGCUCUUGCAUCGAUGAAGAACGCAGC